AACGAGGAGGAGGGGGAAACACAAACCUGUCAGCCUCUGACUCGGCCGCAGCCCCGGGAGCCGCCGCGCGCCCUACCUGCCGGCCGCUCACCUGUACCUGCCGCGGCCGGACUCACCUGGCUGCGCCGAGGAGCCGUCGCCGGGCCGCGCCUCGCUGGGACUGCGAUGUGCCGGCCCUAGCUGCCAUCUGAGAGGAUGUCCGGGGUGUCCGAGCCCCUGAGCCGAGUGAAGGUGGGCACGCUGCGCCGCCCCGAAGGCCCCCCCGAGCCCAUGGUGGUGGUCCCGGUGGAUGUGGAGAAGGAAGACGUGCGGAUCCUCAAGGUCUGCUUCUACAACAACAGCUUCAACCCCGGGAAGAACUUCAAACUGGUCAAAUGCACGGUGCACACGGAGAUCCGGGAGAUCAUCACUUCCAUCCUGCUGAGUGGCCGCAUUGGGCCCAACAUCCAGCUGGCCGAGUGCUAUGGGCUGAGGCUGAAGCACAUGAAGUCGGACGAGAUGCACUGGCUGCACCCCCAGAUGACGGUGGGUGAGGUGCAGGACAAGUACGAGUGUCUCCACGUGGAAGCCGAGUGGAGGUACGAUCUUCAGAUCCGCUACCUGCCAGAAGACUUCAUGGAGAGCUUAAAGAAAGACAGGACCACGCUGCUUUAUUUUUACCAACAGCUCCGGAAUGACUACAUGCAGCGUUAUGCCAGCAAGGUCAGCGAGGGCAUGGCCCUGCAGCUGGGCUGUCUGGAGCUCAGGCGGUUCUUCAAGGACAUGCCCCACAAUGCACUUGACAAGAAGUCCAACUUCGAGCUCCUGGAAAAGGAAGUUGGGUUGGACUUGUUUUUCCCAAAGCAGAUGCAAGAGAACUUGAAGCCCAAGCAGUUCCGGAAGAUGAUCCAGCAGACAUUCCAGCAAUACGCCUCACUCCGGGAGGAGGAGUGCGUCAUGAAGUUCUUCAACACCCUGGCGGGCUUCGCCAACAUCGACCAGGAGACCUACCGCUGUGAACUCAUUCAAGGAUGGAACAUUACCGUGGACCUGGUCAUCGGUCCUAAAGGCAUCCGUCAGCUGACAAGUCAAGAUGCAAAGCCCACCUGCCUGGCGGAGUUCAAGCAAAUCCGGUCCAUCAGGUGUCUCCCCCUGGAGGAGGGCCAGGCGGUGCUGCAGCUGGGCAUUGAAGGCGCCCCCCAGGCUCUGUCCAUCAAGACCUCGUCUCCUGCAGAGGCCGAGAACAUGGCUGACCUCAUAGACGGUUACUGCCGGCUACAGGGGGAGUAUGGAGGGUCUCUCAUUGUCCACCCCAGAAACGAUGGUGAGAAGCGGAACAGCCUGCCUCAGAUCCCCAUGCUAAACCUGGAAGCUCGGAGAUCCCACCUCUCAGAAAGCUGCAGCAUCGAGUCAGACAUCUACUCGGAGAUUCCCGACGAGACCCUGCGAAGGUCUGGAGGGCUGCAGUAUGGUGUCGCCCGUGAAGAUGUGGUUCUGAAUCGUAUCCUCGGGGAAGGCUUUUUUGGGGAGGUCUAUGAAGGUGUCUACACGAAUCACAAAGGGGAGAAAAUCAACGUGGCCAUCAAGACCUGCAAGAAGGACUGUACUCUGGACAACAAGGAGAAGUUCAUGAGCGAGGCAGUGAUCAUGAAGAACCUCGACCACCCGCACAUUGUGAAGCUGAUCGGCAUCAUCGAGGAGGAGCCCACCUGGAUUAUCAUGGAGCUGUACCCCUACGGGGAGCUGGGCCACUACCUGGAGAGAAACAAGAGUUCCCUGAAGGUGCUCACACUUGUCCUGUACUCACUGCAGAUAUGCAAGGCCAUGGCCUACCUGGAGAGCAUCAACUGUGUGCACAGGGACAUCGCCGUCCGGAACAUCCUGGUGGCCUCCCCUGAGUGUGUGAAGCUGGGGGACUUUGGCCUUUCCCGGUACAUUGAAGAUGAGGACUAUUAUAAAGCCUCUGUGACUCGUCUUCCCAUCAAAUGGAUGUCCCCAGAGUCCAUCAACUUCCGCCGCUUUACGACGGCCAGCGACGUCUGGAUGUUUGCUGUAUGCAUGUGGGAGAUUCUGAGCUUUGGGAAGCAGCCCUUCUUCUGGCUGGAGAACAAGGACGUCAUCGGGGUGCUCGAGAAAGGGGACCGGCUGCCCAAGCCUGACCUCUGUCCCCCUGUGCUGUACACCCUCAUGACCCGCUGCUGGGACUACGACCCCAGUGACCGGCCCCGCUUCACGGAGCUCGUGUGCAGCCUCAGUGAUAUUUAUCAGAUGGAGAAGGACAUUGCCAUGGAGCAAGAGAGGAAUGCUCGCUACCGAACCCCCAAAAUCUUGGAGCCCACAGCCUUUCAGGAACCACCACCCAAGCCCAGCCGGCCCAAGUAUCGGCCCCCUCCACAAACCAACCUCCUGGCUCCCAAGCUGCAAUUCCAGGUCCCUGAGGGUCUGUGUGCCAGCUCUCCCACGCUCACCAGCCCUAUGGAGUACCCAUCUCCUGUUAACUCGCUGCACACCCCACCUCUCCACCGGCACAAUGUCUUCAAGCGCCACAGCAUGCGGGAGGAGGACUUCAUCCGCCCCAGCAGCCGAGAGGAGGCCCAGCAGCUGUGGGAGGCUGAGAAGAUCAAGAUGCGGCAGAUCCUGGACAAGCAGCAGAAGCAGAUGGUGGAGGAUUACCAGUGGCUCAGGCAGGAGGAAAAGUCCCUGGACCCCAUGGUUCACAUGAAUGACAGGUCCCCGUUGACACCGGAGAAAGAGGUUGGCUACAUGGAGUUCACGGGGCCCCCGCAGAAGCCACCUCGGCUGGGUGCACAGUCCAUCCAGCCCACAGCCAACCUAGAUCGAACCGAUGACAUGGUGUACCUCAAUGUCAUGAAGCUGGUGCGGGCUGUGCUGGACCUCAAGAAUGAGCUCUGCCAGCUGCCCCCCGAGGGCUACGUCGUGGUGGUGAAGAAUGUGGGGUUGACCCUGCGGAAUCUCAUCGGAAGUGUGGAUGACCUCCUGCCCUCCCUGCCAUCAUCUUCACGGACAGAGAUUGAAGGGACCCAGAAACUGCUCAACAAAGACCUAGCGGAGCUUAUCAACAAAAUGCGACUGGCGCAGCAGAACGCGGUGACCUCCCUGAGUGAGGAGUGCAAGCGGCAGAUGCUCACAGCCUCACACACCCUGGCCGUGGACGCCAAAAACCUGCUGGAUGCCGUGGACCAGGCCCGGGUUCUGGCCAACCUGGCCCACCCGCCUGCAGAGUGACUGAGCACAGGGGCUGCCUGCCUGCAUCUUCCACCCCCACCUCCUCGUGUACCUUCCCCACCCUGCCUGAGGUCAUGUGGGUCUUCUUGGGGGGAAGACCUGGCCACUCUGCAUGACCCCCUCUCCCCACCCCACCCUAAACUGAGCUGCUCGGGCUGCAGGUGGACCGAGAAGACCCUGGGCUGUGGACACAGGGGAUGGGGUGACAAAGAUGGCUCAGAGGAGGCACUGCUGCCACCUGGCCAGCCUUCCCCAUCACAAUAUGACUCAUGCUGGGUGCUUGGGGGGGGUCACGUGGUGCCCCCAGUAGCCAAGAUGGCUUUACACAUGGACACAGCUGGGCUAUUUGGGAACCAGGCUGCUCAUCCUCCUUCCUUUUCUGCCCUCAGAGGUCCCCUAAUGCACAGAUGGGCCCAGGAGAGGCUUUAUUUGGGGGUCAGCUGGCUGGUGAGAUGAGAGAAGAGCCUGGCAUUCUUGUACAGUGUAUAUUGGAGUUUAUUUAAUGUGAGUUUGGUCUGGACUGACAGCUGUGUGCCCUCCUGGGAGGAACCUGGAAUGCAGUCCAGGAAAGAGCUAAUAGGGAGCAGGGGCACAGUAUGCUGUGUUGUCAACAACCAAGAGUCAGAGAAAGACAUGGAGAGAUGGGAGGACUCAAGGAGACGGGAGGACUCGCGGAGAGACGGGAGGACUCGGAGAGACGGGAGGACUCAUGGAGAGAUGUGUCCAAGUCAGGGCCUUGGGCCGAAUCUGCUCUCUCCUACCCUCUCUCCUUCUCCCUUUUCUUCCUUUCCUUCUUUUCUUAUUUCUUCUCCUUUUACCUACCCCUUUUCUCGUGUGUUUGUGUAGAAUACUCUUUUACCUUCUUUCUAUUUGACCUGUGGUUGAAUUAAAAUUGUUACCAUUUGCUUUGUGGUCUGAUUGUUCUGUUUAUUUAAUCUGCCCUUUUAAGGAGAAUGGUUACUCCACUGCAGCCACACCAGCCAAGAGCCCAUCAGCACUGGGUGUUUGCCAAGGAGGGGAGUAUAGAGACACAGGAGGUACGACAGGCAGGAGGCAUGAAUCACAUGUGCGCGCAUUGCUGCACCAGGCGGGCAGGGCUGGGAGCCUGGACCAGGAAGCCCAGAGGCAAGGAGGAGGGG
Molecule: RNA transcript, 4364 nt
Organism: Nycticebus coucang (slow loris)
Lineage: Eukaryota; Metazoa; Chordata; Mammalia; Primates; Lorisidae
Gene: PTK2B
Gene name: protein tyrosine kinase 2 beta
Exons: 32
Source: RefSeq, a predicted model, not a curated record